Long non-coding RNA from Labrus mixtus (cuckoo wrasse), 678 nucleotides. RefSeq lists it as uncharacterized. NCBI's taxonomy places the organism in Eukaryota, Metazoa, Chordata, Actinopteri, Labriformes, Labridae. The record is from RefSeq and is a predicted model, not a curated record. The transcript is spliced from 2 exons.
UGUUUGAUCAGCUGAUCGUCACUGAACCACAGAGAAUCAUUCAACAGUAAACAUGUAACAUCACACUGACCAGGGAUCAGUCCAUCUCACGUUCUGUUCAUAAACCGGACACAAAUAGGAAGUCUGUGUACAUCAGAGAGACAAACAGGAAGUCUGUGUACGUCAGAGAGACAAACAGGAAGUCUGUGUACAUCAGAGGAACAAACAGGAAGUCUGUGUACAUCAGAGAGACAAACAGGAAGUCUGUGUACACAAGAGGAACAAACAGGAAGACUUCGUACAUCAGAGGGACAAACAGGAAGUCUGUGUACAUCAGAGAGACAAACAGGAAGUCGUACGUCAGAGGAACAAACAGGAAGUCUGUGUACAUCAGAGGGACAAACAGGAAGUCUGUGUACAUCAGAGAGACAAACAGGAAGUCUGUGUACACCAGAGGGACAAACAGGAAGUCUGUGUACAUCAGAGGGACAAACAGGAAGUCUGUGUACACCAGAGGGACAAACAGGAAGUCUGUGUACAUCAGAGGGACAAACAGGAAGUCUGUGUUGGAUUUGAUUUGUUUUUCAUUCUAAUGGAGUCUGUCUGUAAAAUAUAUAAUAAUAAUUAUAGCGACAAUAUUUAUUUAUAUUUAUAUCAUUUCUGUUGUAUGUUAUGGAAACAGUAAAAUGAUGAUUGUGA